AUAAGAACAAUAUUUAAACUCUGUCCCUAAUUUUGGGCCUUUGUCUCCCAAUUAUUUUUGGCUUUGUCCAAAUUUAUUGCAAUGAGAAGAUGAGAGGUAUGAUUUUAGUUGUCUUCCAAAUGUGCUUGCAAGAUUAACAAACUUCAUUUGAGGUGGAUGCUAAAUUCUAGCAAGACUCACACACUACCUUAAAUAAAUAUUCUACAAAUGGUUGACUUUAUACUCCAAUAUUUGUCUGCCUGAUGCCAACUACCAUUCAGUUUUUAACAAGAAAGAAAUUAUUAUAACCUGAUAAUUUCUUGUUAGUGUGUAAUGCUGGAUAGCUUUCUAUAGCUACUGGUUGUUGAGAAAUGAACCUGAGAAACAUCCUAAAGUAAUUUAAAAUCUGAGGAUAUAUCUAUAAAACAAAAAUCUUGCAUGGCUGGGUUUUACGUUAGCAGCAAUAGACAGAGAAAACUAUAUAUAUAUAUAUAUAUAUAUAUAUAUAUAUAUAUAUAUAUAUAUAUAUAUAGCCUGAGGGACACUGUAUUCAAGUGGAAAUGCUCAGGGUAAGAAAAACAGUCUGUUGUUUUAGAUCUGUGUGGUCUCAGUAUUUGAUGUACUCACAUAUUACAAGCGUAUCCAAUUGUGAUGUUAAAAGAUGUGGCACAGAACUUCAGAGUAGUGGAUUAACAAUCAUUACACCUGCCAGUUGCACAUAAGUUAGCAGAUUCCAGCCACGUGCUUGGACAAAAUGUAUUUAAUGUAUGAGACUGACUUGAACAAAUCUGUGUUAACUGGAAAUUCCCUUGUUGUCAUUGAAAUUGUACAGACACUACUAUGAAAAACAUUUUUUUUAUAAACCACUCAAUGUGAUCAUUAAAAAUCAAAGAAUGAUGCAAGUUCUUUCCAUUAAA
Molecule: long non-coding RNA, 896 nt
Organism: Protopterus annectens (West African lungfish)
Lineage: Eukaryota; Metazoa; Chordata; Ceratodontiformes; Protopteridae
Exons: 2
Source: RefSeq, a predicted model, not a curated record